This 934-nucleotide ribosomal RNA is filed under the name Eunice cf. insularis JZ-2010. Its description in RNAcentral is "partial 16S ribosomal RNA". It matches the Rfam family "Bacterial large subunit ribosomal RNA", at positions 689 to 2603 of the family's 2925-position model. Lineage: Eukaryota; Metazoa; Annelida; Polychaeta; Eunicida; Eunicidae. The record is from RNAcentral.
UUUGCAAGUAUUAAAAUAACUUUUCCUCCCGAAAAUCAGUGAGCUGACUUAAAUUUGUUUAGCACCUAUAAAUAAUGUAGCAAUAUUAUUGUAAAAAUUAAAGUCAGAGGCUACAUACCUAUCGCACUGAUUGAUAUCUGGUUUUUCACGCUACCAGCUUUAGCUGCACCAGCUGUAAACACAGCUAGUAAAAUAGACCAAGGAAAAGCUUGGUCUAUCCCCUUAUUAAAAACAAAUCUAUAGACACCCGUAGGCCCAAAAUCAGCCAACAUUACAUCACGUUCCAGUAUAUUCCUAAAAACUAUCACAAAAUAAAUACAAACUAAGUGAAAUAGUUGCACUAAUAUCUAUCCAACUUACCUAUGCAAAGAUCAGUAUUUCUCCCAAACACGAAGAAGGAACUCGGCAAACAUUUAUUUCGACUGUUUAACAAAAACAUUGCCUGUGGACCACCCCAUCUCAGGUAAGCCCUGCCCAGUGAUCAUUAUUAAACGGCCGCGGUACCCUGACCGUGCAAAGGUAGCAUAAUCCUUUGCCUCUUAAUUAGAGGCUAGUAUGAACGGGUCAACGAAAUAAAACUGUCUCCUCCGCGCCCCUAAAAAUUUUUCUUCAGGUGCAGAAACCUGAAUCCCUAUAAAAGACAAGAAGACCCUGACGAGCUUUAAUCCUAAGUAGGCCAUAACCCCCCCCUACAAAGAUAUUUAUUGGGGCAAUAAUGGAGCACAAAAAACCUCCAGCAAAUAUACGACACCAAGUCUCUCCCCAGAUCCCAACAAAGGACCAAAGGCAAUAGCUACCGCAGGGAUAACAGACUAAUUUUCCUCAAGAGCCCAAAUCUACAGGAAAGUUUGGCACCUCGAUGUUGGCUUAAAGAAUUCUCUUAGGAGCAUCAGCCUAAGCAAUGGGUUUGUUCAACCCUUAAAACUUUACAUGA